AAAGACUGAGGCUAGAAUUUGGAUUGAACAUCAGCACUAAUAAGAAUGAAUGAUAAUGAUGAAAGGGAGUUAAGAGUCAUGGGGUAAUGAUUAGAAUCAGAGUUGGAGGACCAUCUGUUUUGUCUCAGGUCUCUACUUGUGCCUCCUUUUAGGUUGUGACUUUCAGGGCCAAGGUCUUUGGACUCAGUGUUACCAAGAAAGCAGCUCCUCUGAUAUUGAAGAACAGGGAAGCAUGGUAUGCUGCCGUCCACGGGGUCAAAAAGAGCUGGAUGUGACUUAGUGACUGAACAACAAGCCCUUCUGAGCCUCUGCCCUUGAAUCACAUCUUUCAUAUACAACCUCGAGAAGCAGUGAAGGCAAGUCUGCAAAGAAGCAGCAGCUCUGUAGAGAGAACAACAUUUGACCAGGGAGAAAAAGAGAUAAUGAAGGAAUACCUACUGGGCUUCAUGCUGGUAAGUUAAAUCAUUGUUCCAGUCCUUCGUGAGAUCUUGUUGCUCUCUGUGCCUUUGGGUUCUGUAAGAUUAUUUCCUUAAUUUUUUUUUCUUUCACAAAGAAGUUUCAGUAGGUUUCUGUACUGGCAGACAAAAGAGCCUUGACUAAGAGUGACUUUUAUCAGAUUAGCUCUUUCAUUCAACAAACACUGAUUGAGUUUGCUGCAGUCCCACCGAGACUGGUGGAGCCCACAAGUCUACAGAGCAUGCACUAACAGAAAGGUAUAUAUAGAAAUAAAACAACAGUAUUUGGUAAUAAAAUUAAUCUAGGUAAUACCCCACUUGGUUGUCGGUACAUUAACAGCAAUUUCUAAGAGCUAGUCCUUUUGGAGCUAGGUUUUGUGAGAACACACAGACAUAUAAAUUUCCUAGGCCUAUAAUGGGGACUAUCUGCGCAGAAGAAGGAGGGACCAAUUCUGCCUGAUCAGAGUACGGGAGACAUAGAGGUAAUAAAUAAAUGAAGGGGCAAUAGAAGUGUGCUGGGUAACAGAGGAAGGGGCAGAGGGGAGUAGGAG
Bos taurus (domestic cattle) is the source of this 1006-nucleotide long non-coding RNA. The record is from Ensembl. Lineage: Eukaryota; Metazoa; Chordata; Mammalia; Artiodactyla; Bovidae.